GUUACCCUAAAUGUCUCUUUCUGUGGAGCUAUCAGCGCUUAAUUUUCAUUUUCACCUUUUCAGCUUAUCAGCUUAUCAGUCUCAUGCCAUUAAAACCCAAUUGCUGAUGCCAGAGUUUCUGUUCCAUGUAGGACUGCUGUAUUUUCUUCCCUUCUCACUCUAGCAGCUGGAUUAACCAGCAUCUCACACCUCAGAACUGCCGCCAAGUCACCUGAUUCUCUGGCAGUUGGAAUCUGAAAGUGAUUCCCAUUUAUCGAGCACUUCCUGUAUACCCAGCAUUGUGUAAGCACAUCCUGGGCUUUAUCUCCUCCAGUCUUCACAACAACACUACUUUGCCAAAGGAACUAUCUUUACCCUUAUUGUACCAGUGAACAGGGAACAUCCAGAGAAGUCGCAGAAGUUUCCAGUUCACACAGUGAGAGCAGAGGUUUUAUUGACCCCAGAGAUCAGACACUGUCCAGCACAACACAGCUUACGGUUUCCACUCGCGUGACUCAAUCCUCCCACACUUGGCACCAACAUGACUUUGCUGUUUCAGAAACUUGUUGUCCAGGAAGAUGAAGAUUCCAAUAAUUCUGUUGUUUGUUCCAGGAACUUUCUGAGAAUCCAUUUAUCGGAACAAUAGACUACUUGACCAGCCCACAUCAGGGCGAACAGGUCUUUCUCAGAACGCUCACUUCCAAACCUCACCUGGCUGUGGGAAUCAGACCUGCAGCAUACUGUCUCAAAGGGUGCCCAUUGUCAGUCAGGGCCCCGCUUUGAAAAGCCCAUGCCAACCAGACCCCUAAAACACUAUAAAUAUCCUACCUUUGACACACUGCUUCCCUCUCUGUGAUGUUACUAGAACUGGCAAUGUCGUGAUCUCCCCAACCACAGCAAGCAAUGCAUGCUUCAUCCACAGGUUAUUCCAACAUCUCUUCCAAGAGUUGGCAGUCAGUCCCUGGUUUCUCAUGUAUCAAGUGUGUGUUCCCAGUGUGCAUCCAUCUACUCUUCAGGUCCCUUGAACAAGUGAAACUUCACAGGUAUCU
This 1028-nucleotide long non-coding RNA is filed under the name Equus caballus (horse). Its description in RNAcentral is "lncRNA (ENSECAG00000057859.1)". Lineage: Eukaryota; Metazoa; Chordata; Mammalia; Perissodactyla; Equidae. The record is from RNAcentral.